This 253-nucleotide ribosomal RNA is filed under the name uncultured bacterium. Its description in RNAcentral is "partial 16S ribosomal RNA". It matches the Rfam family "Bacterial small subunit ribosomal RNA", at positions 524 to 776 of the family's 1533-position model. The record is from RNAcentral.
UACGAGGGCCCCGAGCGUUAUCCGGAUUUAUUGGGCGUAAAGGGUCCGUAGGCGGUCCGCCGCAUCUCCCGUUAAAUCCUGAGGCUCAACCUCAGGACCGCGGGAGAGAUGGGCGGACUAGAGGCCGGGAGAGGUAAGCGGAAUUGCUGGUGUAGGGGUUAAAUCCGUUAAUAUCAGCAGGAACACCAAAUGCGAAAGCAGCUUACUGGAACGGUCCUGACGCUGAGGGACGAAAGCGUGGGGAGCGAAUGGG